CAACCCUUCUGGUCUGAGGGGGCAGGCCAGAUCCCACUGCCUAGAAGACCCAGAAGAGGAGGAGCUGGCAGGAGGGAGUGAGCCCAAGCUUCCCCUUCUGACUCUGUGGCUAGACUAGGAGCUUCUUGGAAGGCGGCGACGAGGGCGGCUGCCCAAAACUUUCUGCCUGGUUCUAGUUGCUUGUCUGGAGAUGGAGCCACUACAGGCAGGGCCUGGGCGCCUGGAGUCGAGCAUGAAAGGAAAUAGCGCCUCAUCGCUCUUAUCUAAGCCCAGAGGUCGACUUCGCUUGAAAAAAUCGAGAAUGGGGGAGGGCAUCGGCACUCACUUGCAGACAUCAACAGUUUCCAGAAAACUCGGUUUAAUUCCUUCACCACGGACCCACCAACCAAGGAGCUGGCAAGACCCACCAGCCAACCAGGAGAACACAGACCCGGUUUGUCUUUUGACAACCGAGUGGAACUGCCGGGGCCGGCGCCUGCCCUGCGGGUCCCCUCCCUUGGCUGAGAAGAAAACCAAAUAAACCUUGAACAGCCUUGGCUUCG
Molecule: long non-coding RNA, 542 nt
Organism: Symphalangus syndactylus (siamang)
Lineage: Eukaryota; Metazoa; Chordata; Mammalia; Primates; Hylobatidae
Source: RefSeq, a predicted model, not a curated record